Molecule: ribosomal RNA, 429 nt
Filed under: Acidobacteriota bacterium
Lineage: Bacteria; Pseudomonadati; Acidobacteriota
Description: Acidobacteria bacterium partial 16S ribosomal RNA
Rfam family: Bacterial small subunit ribosomal RNA
Source: RNAcentral
UAGGGAAUCUUCCGCAAUGGACGAAAGUCUGACGGAGCAACGCCGCGUGAGUGAUGAAGGUUUUCGGAUCGUAAAACUCUCUUGUUAGGGAAGAACAAGUUGGGUAGUAACUGACCCAACCUUGCCGGUACCUAACCAGAAAGCCACGGCUAACUACGUGCCAGCAGCCGCGGUAAUACGCAGGUGGCAAGCGUUGUCCGGAAUUAUUGGGCGUAAAGCGCUCGCAGGCGGUCUUUUAAGUCUGAUGUGAAAGCCCACGGCUUAACCGUGGAGGGGCAUUGGAAACUGGAGGACUGGAGUACAGAAGAGGAGAGUGGAAUUCCACGUGUAGCGGUGAAAUGCGUAGAGAUGUGGAGGAACACCAGUGGCGAAGGCGACUCUCUGGUCUGUAACUGACGCUGAGGAGCGAAAGCGUGGGUAGCGAACAGG